GAGUGAGUGAGUGAGUGAGUGAGUGAGUGAGUGAGUGAGUGAGUGAGUGAGUGAGUGAGUGAGUGAGUGAGUGAGCAAGAGAGAAAGAGCAUGAGCGAGAGGAGAGAGAGAGAGAGAGAGAAAGAGCAUGAUCGAGAGAGAGAGAGAGAGAGAGAGAGAGAGAGAGAGAGAGAGCGAAGAGAGAUCGAGCAUCAUGAAUAUAGCUGCCCUCCAACAGAAUCUAUGUCUACACUAGGUAAAGUGACGCAGUAGGUCUGUGAAAGCUACAUGGACAACAUUCAGACUCCAGCUACUACAGUUAUUAAAGGACUUCCUGUAAUGACUACCAGAGUGAGUCCGGUGACAGAGAAGAGUGUGUCCAGUCCACUGUAGAUGAAGAAGGGGAUGAGGAGUCUCAGUCUGUAGUCUCUCAGGUGUUUGAAGGGCAACUGGAAGAUGUUCCCCCAGCCGAUACUCCUCAGAUCGAUCUCCUCUGUAGGGCGGUACGCAGCCCCGCACACCGCCAGGAACUAUGGGUAAAACACAGUGAAGGACUGUGGGACAGCAAGCAAUGGACUCUGGGUAAUCUCGGAGGGUGUUGUAUUGAUUGUUGGGUGUAAUAAAACUAGGUUUUUAGGAUGAUCAUUUUAGGUAGGUGUGUACAGACGUGUCUUUGCCUGUGUGUGUGUGUCUUACGAUGAUCAUGGAGAGGAAGGCGGCCCCCAUGAGAACACUCUCCACCUGGAUCAGCGCCAGGGAACGAGGGAGGUGCUUCAGGACGGUCCUGUUGAAACCCUCGAUCAUACCACUGCCCUCCGCACCUGGAGGGGAGGGGGAGGAGUUAUUAAAACCACCAAUCAUACCACUGCCCUCCGCACCUGGGGGGGGGAGUUAUUAAAACCACCAAUCAUAGCACUGUCCUCUGAACCCAAUAAAGAGAGAGGGAUAAAGAAAGUGAUGAAACAAAAACCUGUAUAUUUUUUAAACCAUUGAUCAGAGAGAGAGAGAGAGAGAGAGAGGAGGGGGGAGGGGGAUGAGAGAGAUUCAGGUGCACGAAAACAGUGCUAUUAAAACCAUAGAUCUUGCUUCUCCUCUGAGAGUCAGGGUAAGGAAAUGGAAGUUAAUAACAGACUACUGGUCAGUUUACCACAGUGUUUAACAUUGUACAGUGUGUGGUUGUAGUCACUAAGGUACUGGUGGAGGAAGAUGCGCUGGGGGAACUCUGCAAACACCAGGCUGAGCUGAGAGACACAAAGAGAAACACAGCCAGACAUCAGAAUCCUCACACACACGAACACACAAAAGGCAAUGCUUAACCGAUAUCACUCACUGACUGACAAGUGACUCGACCAAUGGCAACAUACAUGGAAGAUGACGAAGAACACGGAUUGGAAGACGAUGACAUAGCGAUGACACGCCCCUUGGG
RNAcentral lists this long non-coding RNA (1405 nucleotides) under Salmo salar (Atlantic salmon). RNAcentral's name for it is "lncRNA (ENSSSAG00000097906.1)". Lineage: Eukaryota; Metazoa; Chordata; Actinopteri; Salmoniformes; Salmonidae. The record is from RNAcentral.